GAUGAACGCUAGCGGCAGGCCUAAUACAUGCAAGUCGGACGGGAUUCAGGAGCUUGCUUCUGCUGAGAGUGGCGCACGGGUGCGUAACACGUAUGUAACCUACCUUUAUCAGGGGGGUAGCCUCUCGAAAGAGAGAUUAAGCCCGCAUAAAAUCACAGCACAGCAUUGUGUAAUGAUCAAAUAUUUAUAGGAUAAAGAUGGGCAUGCGGAACAUUAGCUAGAUGGCGGGGUAACGGCCCACCAUGGCGACGAUGUUUAGGGGAUCUGAGAGGAUGGCCCCCCACACUGGUACUGAGACACGGACCAGACUCCUACGGGAGGCAGCAGUAAGGAAUAUUGGUCAAUGGGCGGAAGCCUGAACCAGCCAUGCCGCGUGCAGGAAGACGGCCCUACGGGUUGUAAACUGCUUUUAGACGGGAAUAAACCCAGAUACGUGUAUCUGGCUGAAUGUACUGUAAGAAUAAGGAUCGGCUAACUCCGUG
RNAcentral lists this ribosomal RNA (482 nucleotides) under uncultured bacterium. Its description in RNAcentral is "partial 16S ribosomal RNA". It matches the Rfam family "Bacterial small subunit ribosomal RNA", at positions 28 to 507 of the family's 1533-position model. The record is from RNAcentral.